GUAGGUGGCAAGCGUUGUCCGGAAUUAUUGGGCGUAAAGCGCGCGCAGGCGGUUCUUUAAGUCUGAUGUGAAAGCCCACGGCUCAACCGUGGAGGGUCAUUGGAAACUGGAGAACUUGAGUACAGAAGAGGAAAGCGGAAUUCCACGUGUAGCGGUGAAAUGCGUAGAGAUGUGGAGGGACACCAGUGGCGAAGGCGGCUUUCUGGUCUGUAACUGACGCUGAGGCGCGAAAGCGUGGGGAGCAAACAGGGAUUAGAUACCCUGGUAGUCCACGCCGUAAACGAUGAGUGCUAAGUGUUAGGGGGUUUCCGCCCCCUUAGUGCUGCAGCUAACGCAUUAAGCACUCCGCCUGGGGAGUACGGCCGCAAGGCUG
RNAcentral lists this ribosomal RNA (373 nucleotides) under uncultured organism. Its description in RNAcentral is "partial 16S ribosomal RNA". It matches the Rfam family "Bacterial small subunit ribosomal RNA", at positions 527 to 896 of the family's 1533-position model. The record is from RNAcentral.